Molecule: ribosomal RNA, 253 nt
Filed under: uncultured bacterium
Lineage: Bacteria
Description: partial 16S ribosomal RNA
Rfam family: Bacterial small subunit ribosomal RNA
Source: RNAcentral
UACAGGGGGUGCAAACGUUGCUCGGAAUCAUUGGGCGUAAAGCGCACGUAGGCGGCCAGGCAGGUCCGCUGUGAAAACUCGAGGCUCAACCUCGAGAUGUCGGCGGAAACCAUCUGGCUAGAGUCCGGAAGAGGAGAGUGGAAUUCCUGGUGUAGCGGUGAAAUGCGCAGAUAUCAGGAAGAACACCCGUGGCGAAGGCGGCUCUCUGGGACGGUACUGACGCUGAGACGCGAAAGCGUGGGGAGCGAACAGG